This 403-nucleotide ribosomal RNA is filed under the name bacterium. RNAcentral describes it as "partial 16S ribosomal RNA". It matches the Rfam family "Bacterial small subunit ribosomal RNA", at positions 355 to 776 of the family's 1533-position model. The record is from RNAcentral.
UGGGGAAUAUUGCACAAUGGGGGAAACCCUGAUGCAGCGACGCCGCGUGAACGAAGAAGGUAUUCGUAUCGUAAAGUUCUGUCCUAUGGGAAGAUAAUGACAGUACCAUAUAAGAAAGCUCCGGCUAAAUACGUUCCAGCAGCCGCGGUAAUACGUAUGGAGCGAGCGUUGUCCGGAAUUAUUGGGCGUAAAGGGUACGCAGGCGGUUUAAUAAGUCGAAUGUUAAAGAUCGGGGCUCAACCCCGCAAAGCAUUGGAAACUGAUAAACUUGAGUAGUGGAGAGGAAAGUGGAAUUCCUAGUGUAGUGGUGAAAUACGUAGAUAUUAGGAGGAAUACCAGUAGCGAAGGCGACUUUCUGGACACAAACUGACGCUGAGGUACGAAAGCGUGGGGAGCAAACAGG